CCUUUAGACAAAGCAUUCUGCUGCGGCUCUGUCAGCGCACACAUCCACCGGCAGCAGGAAGGACCACAGCUGCCCGGCUGGGGGAUUACAAGCAAGAAUGAAUCAGCACCCAGGGACACUUGACUUCAUGGGCAUACAAGAACCUGCCACGUAGGCUCCUGGAGCAGACUUCCCCAUUCAAGGGCAGGGGAGCUCAAGUAUCCCCCAGACUCGGCAUCUUGGAGCGCUGCGGCAGCGUGCAUCCAGAAGGCCGCCGGGUCCCUGACCACCAUCUGUUCUGCAGGAGACAGAGGAGAGGGAGUGGAGGCUGGCAGAGUUGGUCACCAGGGUCUUGUAGAUAACCAAGGAAGUUGGCAUUGUCCUGCCCCAAGGGGCAGAAAGUACCUGGGAACGGCAGAAUGACUUUCACCAUGUCAGGAGUUCACUGGAGGUUCGCGGAUGCUGGAGCAGAGUGUCGGGGAGUGGCUGGAGUCGAUUGGGCUGCAGCAGUAUGAGAGCAAGUUGCUUCUGAAUGGCUUUGACGAUGUCCGCUUCCUGGGGUCUAAUGUGAUGGAAGAGCAGGACCUGCGGGACAUCGGCAUCAGUGACCCACAGCACCGGCGGAAGCUGCUCCAAGCGGCACGCUCCCUGCCCAAGGUGAAGACUCUGGGUUAUGACGGGAACAGCCCCCCUAGCGUGCCCUCCUGGCUGGACUCCCUGGGGCUGCAGGACUACGUCCAUUCCUUCCUGUCAAGUGGCUACAGCUCCAUUGACACCGUGAAGAACCUCUGGGAGCUAGAGCUUGUCAACGUCCUGAAGGUCCAGCUGCUCGGCCAUCGCAAGCGCAUCAUCGCCUCCCUCGCAGACAGGCCGUACGAGGAGCCGCCCCAGAAGCCCCCCAGAUUCUCCCAGCUGAGGUGCCAAGAUUUGCUCUCCCAGACGUCAUCCCCGCUGAGUCAGAAUGAUUCCUGCACUGGG
RNAcentral lists this small RNA (957 nucleotides) under Pongo abelii (Sumatran orangutan). RNAcentral's name for it is "processed transcript". Lineage: Eukaryota; Metazoa; Chordata; Mammalia; Primates; Hominidae. The record is from RNAcentral.